This 346-nucleotide ribosomal RNA is filed under the name uncultured bacterium. RNAcentral's name for it is "partial 16S ribosomal RNA". It matches the Rfam family "Bacterial small subunit ribosomal RNA", at positions 338 to 681 of the family's 1533-position model. The record is from RNAcentral.
CCUACGGGAGGCAGCAGUGAGGAAUAUUGGUCAAUGGACGCAAGUCUGAACCAGCCAUGCCGCGUGCAGGAAGACGGCUCUAUUAGUUGUAAACUGCUUUUGUACGAGGGUAAACGCAGAUACGUGUAUCUGUCUGAACGUAUCGUACGAAUAAGGAUCGGCUAACUCCGUGCCAGCAGCCGCGGUAAUACGGAGGAUUCAAGCGUUAUCCGGAUUUAUUGGGUUUAAAGGGUGAGGAGGCGGUCGGAUAAGUUAAAGGUGAAAUCCCGAGGCUCAACUUCGGAAUUGCCUCUGAUACUGUUCGGCGAGAGAGUAGGUGCGGUAGGCGGAAGGUAUGGGGGAGCGG